AGCAGCCGCGGUAAUUCCAGCUCCAAUAGCGUAUAUUAAAGUUGUUGCAGUUAAAAAGCUCGUAGUUGAAUUUCGAGACCGGCUUACUGGUCGUGCUAUUGUACGUACUGGUAUAAUCGGUUUCUCCUUUCUGACGAACUAUAAUGCCAUUAAUUUGGUGUUAUAGGGAAUCAGGACUGUUACUUUGAAAAAAUUUAGAGUGUUUAAAGCAGGCUCACGCUUGAAUACAUUAGCAUGGAAUAACGGAAUAGGACGUUUGAUUCUAUUUUGUUGGUUUCUAGGAUCGACGUAAUGAUUAAUAGGGAUAGUUGGGGGCAUUAGUAUUCAAUUGUCAGAGGUGAAAUUCUUGGAUUUAUUGAAGACUAACUACUGCGAAAGCAUUUGCCAAGGAUGUUUUCAUUAAUCAAGAACGAAAGUUAGGGGAUCGAAGACGAUCAGAUACCGUCGUAGUCUUAACCAUAAACUAUGCCGACUAGGGAUCGGAUGAUGUUAAUUUUUUAAUGACUCAUUCGGCGCCUUA
This 520-nucleotide ribosomal RNA is filed under the name uncultured Glomus. RNAcentral describes it as "SSU rRNA". It matches the Rfam family "Eukaryotic small subunit ribosomal RNA", at positions 569 to 1090 of the family's 1831-position model. Lineage: Eukaryota; Fungi; Glomeromycota; Glomeromycetes; Glomerales; Glomeraceae. The record is from RNAcentral.